AGAAUGUGGGCCUUGGUGAUCCAGUCCAGCUCCAAAGGGAUUCUGUCCAUCCCAGCUGUGGAUAGUGAGCCAAGAGUGCCAAGAUCUGCAGUGACACAUGCACCCUCACCUGUGGUUGCAGAGCUGCUGCCUGGAACGAGGCUGUUCCCCUGCGCUGUGUAUGUACAUCUGGAAGGAUGCAUUUUGGACUAGUGGAGCACAUAAACCCAGCUGCUGUCCAAGCCUGGCCAUCAGAGUGUGCAUCAGAAAUCAGCGGAAAUCUCCUGUCUCUGCCUGGGCUGGCCUGUCCAUCUGUUCUGAUGGCUUCUUUUAUCACCAGCAACCAUGUGAAGAAUGACCACAUUAAAAGGUUAUUUCCAAAUGAAAUUGAGGCACAUCCAGACAACAAUUUCUCUCAUUGGAAGGUAGUUAUCAGGAAUGUGAAGGAGGGA
Long non-coding RNA from Strigops habroptila (Kakapo), 431 nucleotides. RefSeq lists it as uncharacterized. NCBI's taxonomy places the organism in Eukaryota, Metazoa, Chordata, Aves, Psittaciformes, Psittacidae. The record is from RefSeq and is a predicted model, not a curated record. The transcript has 4 exons.